UAUAUUUAAGUGUAAAAGCAUAUAAAAUUUUGAAUUUUAAGGAGUUAAUUAAAUUAAUAAAUAUAA
Molecule: transfer RNA, 66 nt
Filed under: Sphecodes ephippius
Lineage: Eukaryota; Metazoa; Arthropoda; Insecta; Hymenoptera; Halictidae
Description: tRNA-Gln
Source: RNAcentral